This 254-nucleotide ribosomal RNA is filed under the name uncultured bacterium. Its description in RNAcentral is "partial 16S ribosomal RNA". It matches the Rfam family "Bacterial small subunit ribosomal RNA", at positions 524 to 776 of the family's 1533-position model. The record is from RNAcentral.
UACAGAGGGUGCAAGCGUUGUUCGGAAUUAUUGGGCGUAAAGGGCGCGUAGGUGGCCCGGUCAGUUCGUGGUGAAAGCGCGGGGCUCAACCCUGCGUCGGCCAUGAAUACUGCCGCGGCUGGAGCACUGUAGAGGCAGGCGGAAUUCCGGGUGUAGCGGUGGAAUGCGUAGAGAUCCGGAAGAACACCGGUGGCGAAGGCGGCCUGCUGGGCAGUUGCUGACACUGAGGCGCGACAGCGUGGGGAGCAAACAGG